AUACUGUCAUGGAUGGAUAUACACUGUUCAGGAAGGACAGGCAGGGCAGAAAAGGUGAGGGAGUUGCAUUGUAUGUAAGAGAGCGGUAUGACUGCUCAGAGCUCCAGUAUGAAACUGCAGAAAAACCUGAGUUUCUGGAUUAAGUUUAGAAGUGUGAGCAACAAGGAUGAUGUUGUGGUGGGAGUCUGCUAUAGACCAUCAGACCAGGGGGAUGAGGUGGAUGAGGCUUUCUUCAGGCAACUAACAGAAGUUACUAGAUCACAGGCCCUGGUUCUCAUGGGGGACUUCAAUCACCCUGCUAUCUGCUGGGAGAGCAAUACAGCAAUGCACAGAGAAUCCAGGAAGUUUUUGGAAAGUGUAGGGGACAAUUUCCUGGUGCAAGUACUGGUGGAACCAACUAGGGGAAGAGCUCUUCUUGACCUGUUGCUCACAAACAGGGAAGAAUUAGUAGGGGAAGCAAAAGUGGAUGGGAAUCUGGGAGGCAGUGACCAUGAGAUGGUAGAGUUCAGGAUCCUGACACAAGGAAGAAAGGAGAGCAGCAGAAUACGGACCCUGGACUUCAGAAAAGCAGACUUUGACUCCCUCAGGGAACUGAUGGGCGGGAUCCCCUGGGAGAAUAACAUGAGAGGGAAAGGAGUCCAGGAGAGCUGGCUGUAUUUUAAAGAAUCCUUAGUGAGGCUGCAGGAACAAACUAUCCCAAUCUAUAGAAAGAAUAGUAAAUAUGGCAGGCGACCAGCUUGGCUUAACAGUGAAAUCCUUGCUGAUCUUAAACACAAAAAAGAAGCUUACAAGAAGUGGAAGAUUGGACAAAUGACCAGGGAGGAGUAAAAAUAUUGCUCAGGCAUGCAGGAGUGAAAUCAGGAAGGCCAAAUCACACUUGGAGUUGCAGCUAGCAAGGGAUGUUAAGAGUAAUAAGAAGGGUUUCUUCAGAUACGUUAGCAAUAAGAAGGUGGUCAAGGAAAGUAUGGGCCCCUUACUGAAUGUGGGAGGUAACCUAGUGACAGAGGAUGUGGAAAAAGCUAAUGUACUCAAUGCUUUUUUUGCCUCUA
This 1049-nucleotide long non-coding RNA is filed under the name Chrysemys picta bellii (western painted turtle). RNAcentral's name for it is "lncRNA (ENSCPBG00000027924.1)". Lineage: Eukaryota; Metazoa; Chordata; Testudines; Emydidae. The record is from RNAcentral.